AGUUUGAUCAUGGCUCAGAACGAACGCUGGCGGCAUGCCUAACACAUGCAAGUCGAACGAGACCUUCGGGUCUAGUGGCGCACGGGUGCGUAACGCGUGGGAAUCUGCCCUUUGCUUCGGAAUAACAGUUAGAAAUGACUGCUAAUACCGGAUGAUGUCUUCGGACCAAAGAUUUAUCGGCAAAGGAUGAGCCCGCGUAGGAUUAGGUAGUUGGUGGGGUAAAGGCCUACCAAGCCGACGAUCCUUAGCUGGUCUGAGAGGAUGAUCAGCCACACUGGGACUGAGACACGGCCCAGACUCCUACGUGAGGCAGCAGUGGGGAAUAUUGGACAAUGGGCGCAAGCCUGAUCCAGCAAUGCCGCGUGAGUGAUGAAGGCCUUCGGGUCGUAAAGCUCUUUACCAGGGAUGAUAAUGACAGUACCUGGAGAAUAAGCUCCGGCUAACUCCGUG
This 450-nucleotide ribosomal RNA is filed under the name uncultured bacterium. RNAcentral's name for it is "bacterial SSU rRNA". It matches the Rfam family "Bacterial small subunit ribosomal RNA", at positions 10 to 507 of the family's 1533-position model. The record is from RNAcentral.